GACGAACGCUGGCGGCGUGCUUAACACAUGCAAGUCGAACGGAAAGGCCUCUUUCGGGGGGUACUCGAGUGGCGAACGGGUGAGUAACACGUGAGUAACCUGCCCUUGACUUUGGGAUAACUUCAGGAAACUGGGGCUAAUACCGGAUAGGAGCUCCUGCUGCAUGGUGGGGGUUGGAAAGUUUCGGCGGUUGGGGAUGGACUCGCGGCUUAUCAGCUUGUUGGUGGGGUAGUGGCUUACCAAGGCUUUGACGGGUAGCCGGCCUGAGAGGGUGACCGGCCAAAAUGGGACUGGGAUACGGCCCAGACUCCUACGGGAGGCAGCAGUGGGGAAUAUUGCACAAUUGGUGGAAGCCUGAUGCAGCAACGCCGUGUGCGGGAUUACGGCCUUCGGGUUGUAAACCGCUUUCGCUCAUGACGAAGCUUUGUGUGACGGUAGUGGGUAAAGAAGCACCGGCUAACUACGUG
Molecule: ribosomal RNA, 467 nt
Filed under: uncultured bacterium
Lineage: Bacteria
Description: partial 16S ribosomal RNA
Rfam family: Bacterial small subunit ribosomal RNA
Source: RNAcentral